This 486-nucleotide ribosomal RNA is filed under the name uncultured bacterium. RNAcentral's name for it is "bacterial SSU rRNA". It matches the Rfam family "Bacterial small subunit ribosomal RNA", at positions 903 to 1397 of the family's 1533-position model. The record is from RNAcentral.
AAAGGAAUAGACGGGGGCCCGCACAAGCAGUGGAGUAUGUGGUUUAAUUCGAAGCAACGCGAAAAACCUUACCAGGUCUUGACAUCGAGUGAAGAAUGUAGAGAUAUGUUCGUCCUUCGGGACACGAAGACAGGUGGUGCAUGGUUGUCGUCAGCUCGUGUCGUGAGAUGUUGGGUUAAGUCCCGCAACGAGCGCAACCCUUACCAUUAGUUGCUACGCAAGAGCACUCUAAUGGGACUGCCGUUGACAAAACGGAGGAAGGUGGGGAUGACGUCAAAUCAUCAUGCCCCUUAUGACCUGGGCUACACACGUACUACAAUGGCAAUUAACAGAGGGAAGCAACAUGGUGACAUGAAGCAAACCCCUAAAAAUUGUCUCAGUUCGGAUUGUAGGCUGCAACUCGCCUACAUGAAGUCGGAAUUGCUAGUAAUCGCGGAUCAGCAUGCCGCGGUGAAUACGUUCCCGGGCCUUGUACACACCGCCCGU